This 52-nucleotide small RNA is filed under the name Sinorhizobium meliloti 2011. RNAcentral's name for it is "putative ncRNA". Lineage: Bacteria; Pseudomonadati; Pseudomonadota; Alphaproteobacteria; Hyphomicrobiales; Rhizobiaceae. The record is from RNAcentral.
CCCGCUGAUCGGAAAGACGGGGGACGCCAGUCCGGCUGGCUUCCCCCAUCCC